CCUACGGGAGGCAGCAGUGAGGAAUAUUGGUCAAUGGACGCAAGUCUGAACCAGCCAUGCCGCGUGCAGGAAGACGGCUCUAUGAGUUGUAAACUGCUUUUGUACGAGGGUAAACGCAGAUACGCGUAUCUGUCUGAAAGUAUCGUACGAAUAAGGAUCGGCUAACUCCGUGCCAGUAGCCGCGGUACUACGGAGGAUUCAAGCGUUAUCCGGAUUUAUUGGGUUUAAAGGGUGCGUAGGCGGUCGGAUAAGUUAGAGUUGAAAUCCCGAGGCUCAACUUCGGAAUUGCCUCUGAUACUGUUCGGCUAGAGAGUAGUUGCGGUAGGCGGAAUGUAUGGUGUAGCGGUGAAAUGCUUAGAGAUCAUACAGAACACCGAUUGCGAAGGCAGCUUACCAAGCUACUUCUGACGUUGAGGCACGAAAGCGUGGGGAGCAAACAGGAUUAGAUACCCCUGUAGUC
RNAcentral lists this ribosomal RNA (460 nucleotides) under uncultured bacterium. RNAcentral's name for it is "partial 16S ribosomal RNA". It matches the Rfam family "Bacterial small subunit ribosomal RNA", at positions 338 to 795 of the family's 1533-position model. The record is from RNAcentral.